AAUCUUAUACUUGAGAUCAUUUUAAACAAUAACUAGCGAUGUUUUAAAUAAUUUUUAUAUUUGUAAAAAUAUCGAGUAAAAGUCGUUAAGUAAAUAUGUUGGAAUAAAUAUACCGAUACUUUAAUAUAGCGUCGAAAAAUUUUUAUCAAUAUUUGAUGAAAAUAUGUUUAUUUACGAUACUUAAUAAUGGCGCCAGCAUAUACCAAAUAUUGAAAUCGUUAGAAUAAAAUAUGGUUUAAAAAAGAGUCGGCUAAAAUAUAUUUUAUUGUAACUAUAUAGUAUAAUUUGAAAUACUAAAGUUUUAUGCGUUUUCUAUAGUUAGAUGUGGCAUUAAGCAUUACAGUUUUUUAAAUAAUUUAUGUGAUUACUUUAUAUUAAUAAAAUUUUAUUUUUUUGUAUACAAGAUGGUGAGAUUUUAAGAAAAAAUAUAUUUUUUAAAUUUAAAAUAAAUAGAUAGAUAAGCUAAUUUUUUAUUAAAAAUUUACCGUUAUAGCCUGUUUAGUAUUAAAGAUCGUUUAAUGCUAUUGGAUAAAAAAAAAAAAAAUCAAACAAAAAUAUUCCGAUGAGAUCAUAGAGAAUAUUGCUUUAAAGCAGUAAAAUUUGUAUCAAAUAUAUAAUUUAUUUUUAUUAUAUUUUUAAAAUUAUAAAUAAUAUAAUUUUGUUAAGAAAAACUUCAAAUACCACUUCUAUAGUUUUGCACUUUUUUUAUUUUAGUAUUCUAUGGUUUAAAGUGUAUCAAUUUGGUACUUUAUGCUUUCAUUUUUCUUUUUUUAUUAUUUCAUUCAUUAAUUUUUUUUUGUUAAAUAAGUGACAAAGUUAAAAUUAAAAUGUAUUAAAAUGAAUAUUCGAUAAACUUAGGUGGCUAUCUGAAGUUUUUUUUGUAUAUAAUUUAACGAAAUAUUAACAAAAAAAAUUGACGAAAAGAAAAAAAAAAUUACAGAAUACCAAAUUAAUACACUUUAAAUUAUAAGUACUAAAGUAAAAAAUUUUGAAAUCAUAGGAAUGAUAUUUAAAAUUUAUCCUUUUUUUUUUUUAAUUCUA
RNAcentral lists this long non-coding RNA (1041 nucleotides) under Ananas comosus (pineapple). RNAcentral's name for it is "long non-coding RNA (ACOM_LNC002840)". The record is from RNAcentral. Lineage: Eukaryota; Viridiplantae; Streptophyta; Magnoliopsida; Poales; Bromeliaceae.